UGCUUCAUGGCAUUGCUUGGUUGAUGCCAGAAGAAUUAGCCAGAAACUAAGGCGUGGUAUUGUCAAGCUGAUGCUUGGACCUGAAGGGAAGGCCAACUUCAGUUGGAUAAUUAAGUGCCAAGUUAGGCAAAAUCUUGGUGGAGGAAUAUGUUCCAAGGAGCACAAAGGGGAAUGGGCAGCACUGUUGACUUUUCUAUGCUGAAAGUGUUGUGGCAUUUCUGUCUUGGUAAGUUCGGUCAAUUGCUUAUUGGUCAGGUGAAUUCAAAGAUGUGAUUUGGAUGACUCAAUUUAGAAAUGUAGGUGCUAAUGUUUGUAAAAGAAAAGCUUGUGGAUGACCAAUGACUAGUGUCAUUAUUCCAAACUAGGGGAAAGA
Molecule: long non-coding RNA, 373 nt
Filed under: Elaeis guineensis (African oil palm)
Lineage: Eukaryota; Viridiplantae; Streptophyta; Magnoliopsida; Arecales; Arecaceae
Description: long non-coding RNA (EGUI_LNC000812)
Source: RNAcentral